UACGUAGGGUGCAAGCGUUGUCCGGAAUUAUUGGGCGUAAAGAGCUCGUAGGCGGUCUGUCGCGUCGGCUGUGAAAACCCGGGGCUCAACCCCGGGCCUGCAGUCGAUACGGGCAGACUAGAGUGUGGUAGGGGAGACUGGAAUUCCUGGUGUAGCGGUGGAAUGCGCAGAUAUCAGGAGGAACACCGAUGGCGAAGGCAGGUCACUGGGCCGCAACUGACGCUGAGGAGCGAAAGCAUGGGGAGCGAACAGG
Molecule: ribosomal RNA, 253 nt
Filed under: uncultured bacterium
Lineage: Bacteria
Description: partial 16S ribosomal RNA
Rfam family: Bacterial small subunit ribosomal RNA
Source: RNAcentral